GCCCAACAGACCCAACUUCAACAAUCAGCCGCCCAUGACCCGUCCAGCCCAACACCAUCGUCGACCCGACCCGAUCUCCCCCUUUUAUUUCUCUUCAGCCAAAACCCGGUACUCACCGACGACGUUAUCAACAACAGUCAACAGUUGUUAACAAAUAACGAUGACAACGAGCAACAACGUGCAAAACCCGACCCCCAGACCCGAUUUCGUCACUAACUCAAUACACAAACGACGUAACAGCGACAACCUCAACAACAGCGUACAAUUUCAAUGCUGUAACCACAAGCAGCCAACAACGACGGUAGCACCACAUCAAUAACGACAAAAUUCCAGACGUCUCAUUUACUAUUUUGCCUUGUCAGAUAGUCUUUUAUGGAUAAAAUGCAGAAUGCUCUCAUCUUUUCAGUUGGUGGUUCAUCAAUUUGGGGAAAAAAUCAAUUCACCUCCUUUGACCAAGCAAAGUAACGACUCUUUCCUCCUUCUCUCCACUGAUUUUUGAGUACAAAAUAUGGCCUUUGUCUCACUAUGGAUGUGAAACUUUUUUAAGAAUUGGUUGAAAUUUUAGAUUUGAAAUCCAUCCUUUUUUCAAAAUUCGAAACCCAUUUUCUCCCCCAAUUUAUCUUAUAAAUAGUGGUUGAAGGAUACGGGAAAAGAGGAGGAAUUUUAGGAAAAAAAAGGGUGUUCUGGAGACGCGUGUCUCUAACCUCACGCAACCAAAAAUCCGGAAAGAAAACUCGAAAAAUCAAUUUCCAACGAAUUCAGUUGAACACUAUUGAUUUUGGAAUCUAGUUUUGGCCGUGGUGAAGGUUUCAUCCUUGAAAAACUCGUAAUCCCAUUCGCUGCCCGGGAAAAAGGUUAACACAUCUUCCUUUUUUCUUUUAGUUGAUUGUUCUUCACCGUCUUCUUUAUAGACUUCUCUCGUUAUCAUAAUGGCUGAGACUGUUUAGUUGAUUGUUCUUCACCGUCUUCUUUAUAGACUUCUCUCGUUAUCAUAAUGGCUGAGACUGUUUGCUGUAGGAACUUAGGAUUUUCUUAUAUUUUUUGUCGAUUUGGUGGCUGUGUUCCUGUAGUUCCUAGGCUGCAUCUUAUUAUGUUUCGUUAUUUGUGUUGUUUGGUGGUAUGUCAGAUUUUGAAAUUAUUUAUUCUUUUUCUUGUUUGUUGCGGGAAUGAAAAUUCACUCAACAAGUUAAACUUCUGUGUGGAUUUCUUGAUUUUGUUAAUAAGUAUAUUUUGUCAAAGAGAAAAUUUGCCUUUUUGUUUCUCUGUAUUGCUUGGAAAACAGUGGCUCGGAAGUCGAUUUUCCUUUUUCCAUUGCUUUCCAUAUUGGUUAUUAGUGUUUACGGAUGUACCAAAUAAAUUUUACUUCCUUAGAUUUGCCUUGUCAUUGGUUUUGUUAUUUGAAAUAGAAUAAUGUCUCUCUAAAGUUGGCACGAUUAAUUCAUUCUCUUGCAAAUAAUUCAUUGUGCUGCAUUUGAUCCAUCUUCUACGUGCACGUUGCAAUUGCCGUUUAAAAUUCGAUAUUGUCUUGAAAUUUCUAAACUCUUUUACUCCAUACAAAUUAAUUCUAGAGUUAAUAGUGGACAUAUAUUAAUAACAAUUUUUUAAGUGUUGCUUUCUUAACUAGUUAUAUUAGUACUAUUUGAAUAAAUUCCAAUCUUUAUAUUUUCUUGAUGCACGUGACACCGACUUGAGUCUCAGCGGACUCCAUUUCCUACAUUUCUCGAUGGACUAGGCCUACAUCUUCUACAAGUUCCAAAUGCCUUCAUUUUUGAAGGAACGAGGCUGGUAUACAUUUGUAUAAGCCUGAUAUAUGAGGUUUACAGGUUAAAAGUGGCUGAUAUAAGUCAAGAGAUGACUUAUGGUAAAGCUAGCAAGAAUAAAAGGUUUUCCAUGCUGUUAUACAGCGUAUAUACAGAAAAAAUGCAGUAAAACGAGGCUGAUAUACAGUCAGUAUACAGCUGGUAUACAACUGCAGAAAUGGACCAAAAGUCCAUAAAGAAUGAGCCCAAAAGUUUUCUAGAUUUGGAAAAGGCCCAUCUUUUAAUUCUUCUUAUUCAUCUCCUUGUAAAUCCUAUUUGAUAAUAUGUUUGCCUUAAAUUAUUAAUUUGGUUAACUUUUAUAAAUCCCCUUCGAAUCAUUAUUUUUGUUUAUCUCUGUAUUUUUCCUUUGUUAUUUUAUAGCGUAAUAUUCGAAAUUAAUAAAAAUAUAUCUUUCUUUAUGUUUUUUCUUAAAAUAAUUUUUUCUAAAAAAAAUAAUCAAAUGACAUUUUAUUUUAUCAACGUGUCAAAGUAGUUCAUUUAAGUUAAAAAGAAUUCUCAUCGACCUAAAAUCAAUUUCCUUUGCAAAAAAUAAAAAUAUUUUCACUAAUUAGUCAAGGCUCAUAAUUUGUUUAAAUUGAUAUUUUUCUUUAAAGACAAAUAUUUUUUUAAUCAAAAAUGAUAUGUAAAAAUCACUUUAUUUCUCCCUUUUAUUUGAAAGAAUAAUUUAUGAAAAAAACGGGUUUAGCUCAACCUUCUUUAUAGGAAAUUUUCUCAAGUUAAAUUGGACUAAUUUUCACUUGGUUGACAAAUGUCAUUUUAAGUCUUCAAAAAAUAGUUAAAGGUAAUAUUUUUUAUAAAAUCAAGUCUUCGUAAAAAUUAGCCACGUUUAGUUAGUCAAGUUAGUUCUUUUUGGUAAAUCGUUUUAAACGGACGCUCCUAAGUGCCUUAAAAACCUUCUUAGAGUGUUAAUUGAACCCUUAUCCAGUUCUCUGGUUUUAAAGGCUUAUUUCUGUUAUUGAGCCUUUGAAACUCUUUUUAAGUUUUUUCGUGAUUUUUUCUAUAAAAAUUAAGUGGCGACUCUAUGAAUUUCUUAAAAUUAUUUUGAAUUUUUUUUGAAUCUUUCUCGUCAAAUGAAUCCGUAAAGAAUAAAACAAAGUUUAAGGAGGGUAGGGUUCAAAAGAGGGAUAAAAAUUGAAUGGCUUACGACUUGUGAUGUGUUUGCCAAAGAAAGGUCAAAAGGCUCAAAGUGGGUGACUAGGGAUAACAUUUAUGCGAGGGUAGACUUUUUAGGCUAGAGUGGACUUUCAAUAUCGCAAAGAUGGCCUAGGAUCAUCUCACCAACCAAGUACAAUCAAAAUUAGUCUUGAUAUACUAAUGGGGCAAGUUCUAGAUGGUACAAGUAUACAUGAGAUUUAAACAAAUAAGUUCACCGCACAUGGCAUACAAAUUCGCCAAGGAGGUUCAAUUGCCCCUCCCGUUAGAGACAAAAAUAGAGUACUUACCAAUUUUCACAAGCCAAAAUUUUGGAGUCAUAAAAAGAGAAAAAGUAUUGAUACAAGAUCGCUCAUGUCUGUACCCUUGAUUUUUGGAAAAAAAAUUAGACGGAGGGGGGUGUUUGCUUUCCAUUUGCACCACAUAUAAUUUGCUAAUUAUGGAACCAACAUAAGCCUUCGUCUCACAUGUUGGCUUUCAUACGGGCAAACCAUAUGGAUACUCAGACUUCGCCAUAGGUAUAAUUAGAUCCCAAAUUCAAAAUGCUACAGGUACUCAGAUUUUUCUUGCAUUUAUUACCUCGAUGCUACGGAUACUCAGACUUCCCCUACAUUCAUGGCUCGAAACUCAAUUACAAUGCUUUUCCCUUAAGAAUGUCCUCACUCAAUCUAUCAUAGGAAAAAGCUAGUCCGAUAUCACCAUAACCAAAAUAAAGAUAAAGUAAAAAUGUAAAAACAAACUAAACAACUAAUCCAUGAAACAUGGGCACCAGCAGAGUGCCCAAAAAAUGCAACCCAGAAACAAAAAAUUAAAAAUCAUCCAAAAAGUCAUCAAAACAUCCAAAAAUAUCUAAAUAAUAUAGAUCCGGGGGCAGGCACCCCCUACUGAAAAGCUAGCAGUGUCCUCACUGCAUAAGUAAUAGAGCAUAAAAUAGAGAUAAGGGUGCUCUCUAAAACUGCAUCAGGAGCUGCUUUCGCUUGCGGACUUGCAUCAUCUCAAUCAGCAUCAGCACCGGACUACUCAGUAGGGGCCUCAUCAUCGCUGUCCAUCCUGGGAGAAGGUAGUCUGUCUCAGAAUAUUAGCACUUUCCACAGGCCCUUUACCUCUUUCUACAUCUUACUGAAAAACUUAUCUUUCUUCUUCUCCCUUUUCUUUAUCUUCUCGUGGGAGUCCCGAAGCUUCCUGUGAUACUCUGCCAACGCUGAGUAUGCCCUUUUGAGCCUAGAAAUGGUGGCUUCUUGAGUCUGUUGGUCCUUUGGAUACUUCUCUUAAUUUGAUCGGGACACAAAUGAGUAGCGGGUGGUGGAGGGCUCUCUUUGCCUCUGGGGCAAUACUGACACAAGCCCCUUGAUGACCCUAAUAUCAACACCAAUAUCUUCAAGAGGCCCAACAGUGAAUGGCCUACAUGACUCUGACUUCUCACAUGUCGACUUUCUCAAGUCGAUCUUUCUAUUUUUCCUUUUUCUCGGUGCACCUUAACCCCAAAUUUUGAGAGGAUAAAUAGGGGUUCAGGGCGCACCCAAGUAUCUCCUGGGUAUUCCGCAACCCCAACUCUCCUGAAUAGCUCAGUGAUCAAAGAAUGGAAUAAGAGAUACAUACCACCAGGGUUUCUGAAGAACUGCAUAUCAGAUAUUACCAACAGAUAUCAUCUGACGACCAACAUUUAAAGAAAAGUUGUCGAGUAUGCAGGGAACCAUAUGGGAACGCAAAUCUGUAGUUGCAGUCAAAUGAAUGCAAGGAGAGAUCCGGCUGCAAAUGAUAUUCAGCUAUAUUCGGGCCUCAGUAGUGAAGUCAUUCAUCGAGAUGCCCCUUUUGGUUGCCACCUACAAGACCUCCUUGACUGGGCACAACCUCUCUACCAUCUAGCUUCCCGGCUCACACCCCUUAGCUUCAAUGUCAACUAUGUCUACAUUUGGGAGCCCAUAUAGAUCAUUGAUUUGUUCCACCUCAAAUUACACAUUCCUCCCCAAAUCCUGAUAACUGGGUUUUUAAAAGAUACUAUACUAAGAUUAGCGUAGAACUCUCGCACCCAUUGCUGAUGUGCCCGGCAAGGAUCCAGAGCAAAACAUCUCCACCUAUUAUCCACGAGCCUAUCAUGCAAUGCUGAAAGAUUUUUCGACACCUUCUCCAAACAUAUACUCCUUUCGGGAAGCAACUUUGUCCUUAGAAACUCAUCGUAGUAUUGGUUGUGGCACUUGGGAGUCAUGAAUCAAAUUUGGUCAUAAUUCUCAAUAAUGUAAACCUAAAAAACAUGAGUACAACAAAAAUAUUUAUCAUCAAUAUUUUCAUGCUUAAACUAGACUAUUUUGUCUUAUAAAACUCAUGGGAUGGGUACUUGGUGGUGUUUGACCAAAAAAUCAAAGUGCAGAAAUUUUGGCCUAGGCUGAGAUUCAGCCUUAGUUAUGGCGAUCACAAGCCACUGAGUUGUGAUUAUGGUGCCGCGAUCGUGACUCGAUAACUGUGAUCACUGGUUCCGCAAUCAUGAUCCCGUGACCGCAAUUAAGGUAACUAAGGCUAGAUUGGGCUAGAUUUUCAAAAGCUUCACAAUCCAAUUUUAAGGCCAAAAUAUGUUUGAAAACAACAGUUAAUCAAUAAGCAUAUCAAACAAAACUUCUAAGUUCUUAAUCAUGCCCUCACGAUGUGAAAAUAAUGAGUUAUAGACUCUUUUGGGCAUUUGAUCGGGCACUUGGUGUGCUCUCUAUACUUUACUCAAAUUCACACAUUUUUUGGAUACUCAAGAUUUUCCCACAUGUAUGCACACUAUUUUUAACAGCUUCACCACACAAGUAAGAUUUAACAAGAAUUUAGCAAGGAAAAACAUAGUUUUAGGCCCUACCUAGUUCAUGCACUCUAAGGCCUACUCACAAUAAUUAAAAACAUGAAUUUAAAGCACUUACCGGAAGAGUGAUGCAAGAUGGAUGCAAAGAUGCUUUUGAAAUGCUCAAAAUAUAGACAGGAACAUGUGUAAUUUGAGAGAAAAGUUGGAGGGGGAAUGUGAGGUAAAUAGGAGACCGGUGGUCUUUUAAACCAUGUCUGGCUGCGAUCGCGGUCAAGGUUCGCGAUCGUUGACAAGCGGAUGAUCGUGAUUGCGACAAAGACCCAACAAUCGUGUUAACAGAGGGCAUUUCUACACCUCUAUUUUCCCCUGUUCAGUCCAACAUGCAAAAAUCCCACUCUUACCCUCUUUCAAACUUAUUCAAUGCACUCUAAAGUGCCAUAAAUGCAUGGAUUAAUCAAUGACAAAAUUAAAAUCUACACUACCAAGUUAAAAAGAAAGGAUACGGGCCACUUUAUGGCGUGAUGGGUUGAUUCCCAUCGAGUGCCAAAUUUUAAUGUCGUGGCACGACACACCUUUUCAAGUAUCAUUUAUGUCUCUACUUAGAAGAUUUAAACUGACGUCCCAUCUUGCAACCAUUAUGUUUUGAGCGAAAGUCGGACAAAAGAUUCAAAUAUUCCAAAAUGAGACGAAAUAAAGUUGAGGAGGUAUUGAUGACUUCUCUAUCUCGCCACUUUGAAGACUUGAAUCGUUUACCCAACUUUACAUCAAACUCUCGAGUAGGCUCAUUGGGUAUUAGUAAGAACAUCAAAAGACUACUAGUUGAAUAUUAGAUUUUCAGCUUUCUUGUCUUCAAAUGAGGGACGUCAUCUCUCCCUUUUAAGAUGACAAACUCCAAAAUAUAAGAAUUUUGUACCCCAUUUCUCAAAUUCGCCAUUUGCUUGGGUGUCUUAACUUUCAUCACAUCCAGCAAGCAUAAUGUUUAAAAAUGAUUAGAAUGAGGUCGUUGUCCCAAUUCUGGAUUCGCAUUCAUCUUGAAAUUCUCAUCCGAAAAUGAACUAAGCCCUCACAAUGGAUUUGCUUAGCUUCUUCUUUGGACUCUAGUACCAAUUCCUUUACUGUGGCAUCCUUUAUUAGUUUUUGUUUGUUUGGUUGGCAAAUCACCAAGGAUUCUUCACUAUCAAGCUCAUAAUCAAGCUCAUGGCUUGAUAUCUUUUCUUUAUCAUCCUUAUUUUGAAGAUUGGGCAUAUACAUGACACUUGAAAGAUUGGUCUCCUCACCCACUUCUUAUUUUUCACUGUCCAUUCCAAAUGCCAUCAUGGGUUGAUUCUAGUGAUGCUGUCCUCCUUCAUUGUAGUCACUCGAUCCAUGAGAUUUAGAAGCAUUGCUGCAACAGGAUUGUAUCCGACAUGUUGUUCUUCCUUUAUCACAUCAUGAGACCUAUCAAAAUCAUAAGAACUAACAUUUUUGUUAGCAUAACUAGGGGAGGGGACAUUUGGACAAUCACUCCAAUGUCCAUCUUGACCACUACAGAAAGAACAAUUUUACUCCUUAUAGUAUUGAGAUGGUGCACACACAUUUUUUCGGGGAGCAUAUUUACAAUCUUGACAAAAGUGGGGUCCACCACAAUAUGGACAUGAAUCAUCAAGAUAAAAUUUGCAACCACCAAACUCAUAUUCAUUUCAAGAUGUCAUAGUAAUAAGCAAGUGAAAAUAAAAAUCUACCUAACACAAGAAACAAAAGAAAAUCACAAACAAAUAUUUACUAGUUUGAAUUCAAGAAACUAAGGUAAAAUUCAAACUAACUCAAUACGUCAAAUUAUUCUCCGACAAUGACGUCAUUUUUGAUAACACUGAACUCACACGUCAAUUUAAGUGCAAAGAGAUCAUUGUCAGUAUAUUACUCAACUUUGAGUCGGGAUCAAAUCCACGAGGAAUAAUGUAACUGAUGAUUGAGUAAGUUCAAAGUGAAAGUUAUUUGCUAAAUUCAAACCUAGGAUACAAGUAGUUUGGGAGAUGUUAAGAGAAUUCAAAAAGAUAACAAAUUGGAUUUCUAACUGACUAAUUUGAGGUUGAGAAUAAUUAGAGCGUAAUCAAUUAGGAACAGAUCUUGGGGCUAUGGUUUACUAGGGACAACUAGUGUGCGGGUACAUGAAAAUCAACUCCAAAUCUUAGCUAAAGUAUGCGUGGGUAGGCUCAGUUAGGGAUUUUGAUACCAUCCAUUCAAUAAAGUACCAAACUAUCAGCUAAGGAUUCUUUCGAAUACCUCGUGGGUGUGGUCAACCAAUCGUUACCAAACCUCAAUUGGGCAUUCCUAUUUCUAAGAAAAUGCCCAAAAUAUAACAAUUCCACAUUUUAUCCUUAUUUCUAAGACAAUAAAAAAAGAGUAACUAUUAUCUAUCUUAUUAUUCACAAAUCCUCAUGUUACCCACAUCCCUCUUUCAAGGAUGGCGUGGUGUUUAGAGAUAUUAAGACUUUCACCAACAAAUUCCAUUUUGCGCCCUAUUCAAUCAAGAAUUUAAGCUAACAAUCACAACCCACACACAUUUGCGCCCUAUUCAAACAUAACCCCAAGAGGGAGAACUAACUACUCAUAAGGAUAAUAAAUAAAGACAUACCAAAAUCUCCAUCAAAUAGAUUCAUGAAAGAUAAAGAAGAUGCGAAUUCAAACUUUAAGUUUCAAUAAAUCUUAAGUGGAAAAUGCUAAUCCUUCACUUAGAAGUUACUCUAAUGUAUUCUUCACCCUAUACUGGAAGAGAUUUCCAAAAAUUGGGAAUUUUUCUCUAUGAGAGAGGGUUUGGUCUCUUAAGGAAAUUGGGGACGGCUGUUGUGAAAUUACAAAACUGCCGCGUUGCCACGAUUGCUGACAUUUGUCCGUAAUCGUGGAUGCUGCAUCCGCGGUUAAAAACUCGCGAUCGCGCUUCUUUAACCUAGCAUUACUGGCUGCGAUCAUGGUCUGAGGACGACGAUCGCGGUAAUUGAGGCUGGUUUCUGCUUCAAGUCUUCUAGCUGUACUUCUUUUCUUCUUUUUGAUCCUUUUUAGCUUUAAUCCACAUCUUUCCAUCUCAUUUUUUGAUCCUUUUUAGCUUUAAUCCAUAUCUUUCCAUCUCAUAACUUGUCUGUCUGCAAAAUGUAAAAAUUAGUGCAUUUAAUCGCAAAUAUGUCUCAUUUAUACAUUCAAUUCAUAGUAGCGGGCAAGAAUGUUGAGUGCAAAUGAGUGGUAAAUUUGCCAUUCAUCAUCCACCAUUUUCACCAUCUUUGAAGCUUGAUAACUCGAAUUUGAGCAUUUUCAAAGAAAUUUUUGAGAUUUUCUUCAUGGGUAUGUUUCUAAACAUUGUAUUAUUAUUUUUCACGGAUUUCACUAUCAAUUUACCUUUAAAUCUUCAAUUCUAAAUUUUAUUUUGCAAUUUUCAUGAUAAAGUUUAAAAAUAAUAUUUUUUCAAUUUGGACCUCAUUUUUAAUUUAUUUUUACAUGAAUUUUCAGUUUUAGGUUCCUAAUGUAAUAAAAAUGUGUUUGCAAAAAUAAACUUUCAGUUUAAUCCUUUUUUAUUCGGGAUUAAUUUUUGCAUUUUUUGUAAAUUCGAAAUAAAUAUAGUUGGUGUGAGUAUCAUUGAGCCCUUUUUUGACUUAUAAAUGUCAUAUUUGAUUGGAUUGGACGCAUUUGGUGUUGAUUCAAGAGAGUUGGGAUUUCAAUUGAGGUUUUAGACUACAUUUGAAUUUGCGGAUCUUAAUUUAAGGCAUGCUAAGAUGUUCAUUGACUUUUUUCCGAAGUGUUUAUGUAUUGUAUGUUUGUUUAAUUUUUUUUUUUUGUGUAUCGCUUAGGAUUGUGGGUCCCACUUAGGUGAAAUGACGAGCAUCCCCUUGGAUACCGGAGUCUUUGAUGGAUUGUCGUUGGAUUAUUACCUUGAUUACUUAGUACUACUAUUAUUAAAUAUUCUUAGAUUGAAAUGUAGAUAGAUAACCUAGUGAUUCUCAAAUAAUGAAGAAUGGAUUGUCAUUUUAGAGCUUGAAUCUUGUUAGCGAACUUUAUUUGGAUGAUAGUGGGUUAGUGCCUUGUUAGGGGAUAAUUAUGUUAUUAUCAUCAUUAUUUUGAUGGAAUGAUUGAAUAUUUAGAGAAUACUUAGAGUAUGAAUAUACUUGUAAUAGCUGAUGAGAGUUAAUGAAUGGGCCAAGUUAGGUUUGGGUAGUCCGCAAUUUAUUAUAAUUGAGAUUGUUAUUUAUUUUGUGAUGCUCGUGUCGGGCUUAUGUGAACUUCAUUAUGGACUUGAGUAGUUAUUUGUGAUUGUAUAUCCGGGUAGGGGCUUAUAUGCAUAUUGCUUUUAAUUUGAGAGGAUAUACUAUUGUGAUGCUCGAGUGGGGGCUUGACUUGAUGUUGUUAGUCAUGUUUUGUUCAUUAAAUGACUAAUUUAUUAUUGCAUCUUUCGAGUGGAGGCUUGAUUUGACAUUGUAGUCCUUAUAUGAGUAUUUAAUUGCAUAUUCAUUACAGUGAUGUCCGACUGAGGAGUUGGGAGUGAUAAUAUUAAUGACCACAUGACUAUUUAUUUUGGUGGUGCCAAGUGGAGGAACGGAAUGAAGAAUAGAAGGAAUAUGGAUCAUAUCUUUAAUCAUUAGAUAUUAGUCAUUUGAGGAUGAUUUGUGUUUAGGAUAGAGAUAUAUCUAAACACUCCACGUGAUUAAUGAAACGAGAAUAUUGCUUAAUGCAUCUAUAUUAAAGACUCACUUCCUCGCUCAAUAAUGUAAUUUUGAAACUAAUUUGGAUAGAUAACUUAGAGGAUGAUCAUUCUCAAGUAAUAAUAUCAACCCCAUAAAUCAGUAACCACGAUAAACACCAACAUCAACUAAGUAGAAUUAGCUGUUAAUGGUUCAAUUAGCUGUUAUAGAGAGAUAAUUUUACAAAGAGUGUACUGCUGUAAUAAACAUCAUUACUGUUAUAGGUAGAAUUUCGUUAUAGAGAAGUAAAAUAUAACAAAAAAAUUAAUUUCGGAGAAAAU
RNAcentral lists this long non-coding RNA (10738 nucleotides) under Capsicum annuum. RNAcentral's name for it is "long non-coding RNA (CANN_LNC001161)". Lineage: Eukaryota; Viridiplantae; Streptophyta; Magnoliopsida; Solanales; Solanaceae. The record is from RNAcentral.